GUGGAUUAGAUACCCUGGUAGUCCACGCCGUAAACGAUGGAUACUAGCUGUUGGGCGCAAGUUCAGUGGCUAAGCGAAAGUGAUAAGUAUCCCACCUGGGGAGUACGUUCGCAAGAAUGAAACUCAAAGGAAUUGACGGGGGCCCGCACAAGCGGUGGAGCAUGUGGUUUAAUUCGAUGAUACGCGAGGAACCUUACCAAGGCUUAAAUGUAGUUUGACAGAUUUGGAAACAGAUUUUUCUUCGGACAAAUUACAAGGUGCUGCACGGUCGUCGUCAGCU
This 280-nucleotide ribosomal RNA is filed under the name uncultured bacterium. RNAcentral's name for it is "partial 16S ribosomal RNA". It matches the Rfam family "Bacterial small subunit ribosomal RNA", at positions 773 to 1060 of the family's 1533-position model. The record is from RNAcentral.